This 263-nucleotide ribosomal RNA is filed under the name Chaetoceros curvisetus. RNAcentral's name for it is "partial Bacterial small subunit ribosomal RNA". It matches the Rfam family "Bacterial small subunit ribosomal RNA", at positions 530 to 792 of the family's 1533-position model. Lineage: Eukaryota; Bacillariophyta; Thalassiosirophyceae; Chaetocerotales; Chaetocerotaceae. The record is from RNAcentral.
GGGAGCUAGCGUUGUUCGGAAUUACUGGGCGUAAAGCGCGCGUAGGUGGUUUGUUAAGUUGGAUGUGAAAGCCCCGGGCUCAACCUGGGAACUGCAUCUGAUACUGGCAAGCUUGAGUCUCGUAGAGGGGGGUAGAAUUCCAGGUGUAGCGGUGAAAUGCGUAGAGAUCUGGAGGAAUACCGGUGGCGAAGGCGGCCCCCUGGACGAAGACUGACGCUCAGGUGCGAAAGUGUCGGGAGCAAACAGGAUUAGAGACCCUGGUA